CGCGUAGGCGGUUUUCAAAGUCAUGUGUGAAAACCUCAGGCAUAACUUGAGGAUUGCAUGUGAAACUGGUGAACUUGAGUGCAGUAGGGGAAAGUGGAAUUCCUGGUGUAGCGGUGAAAUGCGCAGAUAUCAGGAAGAACACCGGUAGCGAAGGCGGCUUUCUGGGCUGCUACUGACGCUGAGGCGCGAAAGCUAGGGGAGCAAACAGGAUUAGAUACCCUGGUAGUCC
RNAcentral lists this ribosomal RNA (229 nucleotides) under uncultured bacterium. RNAcentral's name for it is "partial 16S ribosomal RNA". It matches the Rfam family "Bacterial small subunit ribosomal RNA", at positions 568 to 796 of the family's 1533-position model. The record is from RNAcentral.